This 279-nucleotide ribosomal RNA is filed under the name uncultured bacterium. RNAcentral's name for it is "partial 16S ribosomal RNA". It matches the Rfam family "Bacterial small subunit ribosomal RNA", at positions 506 to 784 of the family's 1533-position model. The record is from RNAcentral.
UGCCAGCAGCCGCGGUAACACGGGGGGCGCAAGCGUUAUCCGGAUUUACUGGGCGUAAAGGGUGCGAAGGCGGCAAAGUAUGUCAGGUGUGAAAUCCCGGGGCUCAACUCCGGAACUGCGCCUGAAACUACUUUGCUAGAGACUCGGAGAGGUAAGCAGAAUUCUAGGUGUAGCGGUGAAAUGCGUAGAUAUCUAGAGGAAUACCAAUGGCGAAGGCAGCUUACUGGACGAGAUCUGACGCUAAAGCACGAAAGCGUGGGGAGCGAAAGGGAUUAGAUA